Molecule: ribosomal RNA, 429 nt
Filed under: Gemmatimonadota bacterium
Lineage: Bacteria; Pseudomonadati; Gemmatimonadota
Description: Gemmatimonadetes bacterium partial 16S ribosomal RNA
Rfam family: Bacterial small subunit ribosomal RNA
Source: RNAcentral
UAGGGAAUCUUCGGCAAUGGACGAAAGUCUGACCGAGCAACGCCGCGUGAGUGAAGAAGGUUUUCGGAUCGUAAAAAUCUGUUGUUAGAGAAGAACAAGGACGUUAGUAACUGAACGUCCCCUGACGGUAUCUAACCAGAAAGCCACGGCUAACUACGUGCCAGCAGCCGCGGUAAUACGUAGGUGGCAAGCGUUGUCCGGAUUUAUUGGGCGUAAAGCGAGCGCAGGCGGUUUCUUAAGUCUGAUGUGAAAGCCCCCGGCUCAACCGGGGAGGGUCAUUGGAAACUGGGAGACUUGAGUGCAGAAGAGGAGAGUGGAAUUCCAUGUGUAGCCGUGAAAUGCGUAGAUAUAUGAAGGAACACCAGUGGCGAAGGCGGCUCUCUGGUCUGUAACUGACGCUGAGGCUCGAAAGCGUGGGGAGCAAACAGG